GAGCAAUCUGUGUGACUGCGUACCUUUUGUAUAAUGGGUCAGCGACUUAUAUUCUGUAGCAAGGUUAACCGAAUAGGGGAGCCGAAGGGAAACCGAGUCUUAACUGGGCGUUAAGUUGCAGGGUAUAGACCCGAAACCCGGUGAUCUAGCCAUGGGCAGGUUGAAGGUUGGGUAACACUAACUGGAGGACCGAACCGACUAAUGUUGAAAAAUUAGCGGAUGACUUGUGGCUGGGGGUGAAAGGCCAAUCAAACCGGGAGAUAGCUGGUUCUCCCCGAAAGCUAUUUAGGUAGCGCCUCGUGAAUUCAUCUCCGGGGGUAGAGCACUGUUUCGGCAAGGGGGUCAUCCCGACUUACCAACCCGAUGCAAACUGCGAAUACCGGAGAAUGUUAUCACGGGAGACACACGGCGGGUGCUAACGUCCGUCGUGAAGAGGGAAACAACCCAGACCGCCAGCUAAGGUCCCAAAGUCAUGGUUAAGUGGGAAACGAUGUGGGAAGGCCCAGACAGCCAGGAUGUUGGCUUAGAAGCAGCCAUCAUUUAAAGAAAGCGUAAUAGCUCACUGGUCGAGUCGGCCUGCGCGGAAGAUGUAACGGGGCUAAACCAUGCACCGAAGCUGCGGCAGCGACGCUGAUGCGUUGUUGGGUAGGGGAGCGUUCUGUAAGCCUGUGAAGGUGUGCUGUGAGGCAUGCUGGAGGUAUCA
This 703-nucleotide ribosomal RNA is filed under the name Escherichia coli. Its description in RNAcentral is "partial 23S ribosomal RNA". It matches the Rfam family "Bacterial large subunit ribosomal RNA", at positions 582 to 1284 of the family's 2925-position model. The record is from RNAcentral. Lineage: Bacteria; Pseudomonadati; Pseudomonadota; Gammaproteobacteria; Enterobacterales; Enterobacteriaceae.